GAUGAACGCUGGCGGCGUGCUUAACACAUGCAAGUCGAACGGAAAGGCUCCUGCUUGCAGGGGUACUCGAGCGGCGAACGGGUGAGUAACACGUGGGUGAUCUGCCCUGCACUUCGGGAUAAGCCUGGGAAACUGGGUCUAAUACCGGAUAGGACGAUGGUUUGGAUGCCAUUGUGGAAAGUUUUUUCGGUGUGGGAUGAGCUCGCGGCCUAUCAGCUUGUUGGUGGGGUAAUGGCCUACCAAGGCGUCGACGGGUAGCCGGCCUGAGAGGGUGUACGGCCACAUUGGGACUGAGAUACGGCCCAGACUCCUACGGGAGGCAGCAGUGGGGAAUAUUGCACAAUGGGCGCAAGCCUGAUGCAGCGACGCCGCGUGGGGGAUGACGGCCUUCGGGUUGUAAACUCCUUUCGCUAGGGACGAAGCGCAAGUGACGGUACCUGGAGAAGAAGCACCGGCUAACUACGUG
RNAcentral lists this ribosomal RNA (466 nucleotides) under uncultured bacterium. RNAcentral's name for it is "partial 16S ribosomal RNA". It matches the Rfam family "Bacterial small subunit ribosomal RNA", at positions 28 to 507 of the family's 1533-position model. The record is from RNAcentral.